This 363-nucleotide ribosomal RNA is filed under the name uncultured bacterium. RNAcentral describes it as "bacterial SSU rRNA". It matches the Rfam family "Bacterial small subunit ribosomal RNA", at positions 355 to 715 of the family's 1533-position model. The record is from RNAcentral.
UGAGGAAUAUUGGGCAAUGCCCGCAAGGGUGACCCAGCAACGCCGCGUGGAGGAUGAAUGUCGUAAGAUUGUAAACUCCUGUUAGAGGGGAAGAAUAGUACCGGUUGGACCGGUAUAUGACUGUACCCUCAGAGAAAGCCCCGGCUAACUACGUGCCAGCAGCCGCGGUAAUACGUAGGGGGCAAGCGUUGUCCGGAUUUACUGGGUGUAAAGGGCGCGCAGGCGGGAUAAAAAGUCAGUGGUGAAAUCCUACAGCUUAACUGUAGAACUGCCUUUGAUACUUUUAUUCUUGAGUGCGGGAGAGAGAGACGGAAUUCCAGGUGUAGUGGUGAAAUACGUAGAUAUCUGGAAGAACACCAGUUG